UACGUAGGGGGCAAGCGUUGUCCGGAAUUAUUGGGCGUAAAGAGCGCGUAGGCGGUCCGAUAAGUCGGCUGUGAAAGUCAAGGGCUCAACCCUUGAAAGCCGGCCGAUACUGUCGGACUAGAGUCCGGAAGAGGCGAGUGGAAUUCCCGGUGUAGCGGUGAAAUGCGUAGAUAUUGGAAAGAACACCGAUGGCGAAGGCACUCUACUGGGCUAUUACUGACACUCAGAGACGAAAGCUAGGGGAGCAAAUGGG
RNAcentral lists this ribosomal RNA (253 nucleotides) under uncultured bacterium. RNAcentral describes it as "partial 16S ribosomal RNA". It matches the Rfam family "Bacterial small subunit ribosomal RNA", at positions 524 to 776 of the family's 1533-position model. The record is from RNAcentral.